This 2350-nucleotide unclassified non-coding RNA is filed under the name Lucilia cuprina (Australian sheep blowfly). RNAcentral's name for it is "uncharacterized LOC124421318, transcript variant X2". The record is from RNAcentral. Lineage: Eukaryota; Metazoa; Arthropoda; Insecta; Diptera; Calliphoridae.
UGCCACCAGAAAGAACCCAAAUAGAUAAAGCUUUUAUAAAUGUUGACGUUGAUUUUGCAGGACCAUUUGACGUCAAAGCAUAAAGUGGCAGAACUUGUAAAAUAACGAAAGGUUACGUUUGUGUUUUUGUUUGCUUUGCAACAAAGGCCAUCCACUUGGAGCCAACAUCUGAUUUGUCUACCCAAGCCUUUAUGGCAGCCUUCGCUCGAUUUUUUUCGAGGCGGGGAUGCCCUGUCGCCAUUUACUCUGACAAUGGAACAAAUUUCAUAGGUGCUAGCAAGUUAUUGAAAAAGGAGCGACAGGAAUUUAUUAAACAGCUAAAAGGAUCUGUUACGUCCACUAGCAGUUUUCAGAAUUUGACGUGGCAUUUUAUACCCCCAGGUGCACCACACAUGGGCGGUUUAUGGGAGGCAGGAGUUAAAAGCUUUAAAGCUCAUUUAAAGAAAAUAAAUACCCUAAAAUAUACAUUUGAAGAGCUAGCUACACUCCUUGCCAGAAUAGAAGGAUGCCUAAACUCGAGACCCUUAAGCCCGUCAAGUGAAAACCCUCAGGAUCUUAACCCGUUAACCCCUGGACACUUUUUAAUUGGCUCACCCAUACUUACCCCUGCAGAACCCGACACAAGCAGUGAUAAUAUAACCCUGGCUAACAGAUGGCAAAAAUUAAAGAUACAACAUCAAAACUUUUGUAAAAGAUGGAAAGAUGAAUAUCUUAAAGAGCUCCAUAAAAGAUAUAAGUGGAAAAACCCUACCCGAGAAGUUGAAAUAGGUGAUAUUGUAGUAAUUAGACAAGACAAUUUAGCACCCAAUGAAUGGUUACUUGGACGUGUGACUAAAACAUACCCUGGUUCUGAUGGUAGAAGUAGAGUAGUUGAUUUACAAACUUCAACUGGAACUCUAACACGACCAAUCACUAAAAUUGUUGUUUUACCCGCUAAUUAGUCUAAUACUCUACUCUAAUACUAUUUACUCAAACCCUAACCCAAAAUAACAAUAUCAUCACUAACUAGCUCAACUAACCACCCUAACUAACCCAAAUUUAUUAUGAAUCGUUUAACCCUUCACCCUAACCCACUAACACAUUCAUUACACUUCAUUCAUUCACACAUAAUUUCUUUUAUACAGAAUAUGGCACCCAACAACAACAACAAUCGUAAAGGACGUUCCAACCGUUCCAGCCGCAAUGGAUCUCGGCCCAAACCCAACCGCAAAAAUGAUAAACGUCAACCAAAACGCCAUUUUGGUUGAGGUAUUUGUCAAGCCGAUCACAGCUUGACAAAUUGUCGAAAGUUCCAAAAGAUGAACUUGGCGGAGAAGUACAAAACCGCAGUUAAAUUGCACUACUGCGUCAAUUGUUUGGCGAGGAACCAUCUCAUUGGCGGUUGCAUGAGUAAGGCUCGUUGCCAACAAUGUGGUGGUAAACACCACUCCACCCUGCAUGGUCCAAAUAGGAUUUUAAAGAAUUUAACCCAGGACCAAUCCCCUCCACCAACUCCGGCACCAAGAACUCCACCCACACCAGCUCCAAGACGAUCAUUAGACAUCGUGAAAGUUACAACACCGGUAACAACGUCGAUGAUGAAAACGUUUGUUCCUACAGCAGUUGUGCAGGUAGGAAGUCUGCGGGCAAGGGCAAUACUAAAUCCUUGCUUGACUAAGUCUAGAAUAGCAGCCGUCUUUGUUAGUGAAAGUUCCCUAGCUCCCUUCAAAAUAGACAAAGAGGUGUUUGUGAAGGUGCUAAUUGCACCAAAUUAUUCCUCAAGCCUCCGAUACGAGGUUUGCAUGGAGGUGGUUAAGGAUCUGCCAAAAACCCCAUAUCCAAGCCCCAUGGACGAAACAAUUAAAAGUAAAUUGUGUCGCAUAUCGCUGGCUGACCCGGAGUUUUACUCCAACAACCCAGUCUCCAUGGAAAUUGGUGGAGACCUUUACACAAGCAUCCUACAACCAAAUGUGAUUCACAUUGACGGGGGAUCACUUAUAGCCCAGGAUUCCACCCUUGGUUGGCUGGACAUGGGAUCAUCUACCCAAUAAACACCCACACAAUAAAGUUGCAGGCCCGGGAGGAUGUUCACAUCAGUGAACAAUUGAACGUUACCAUCCCUGAAGUCCAAUAGCACCCACACCAAACUGCAGCCAACUUCAUUUUUAUACGAACGUCAGCUGCAGUUUUUGCCUUUUUACUUACUUCUAAUCAACCUGGCUUACUACCAACAAGUGUGUGCGCUACAGCGAACAAAACAACAAACCCUACAACAGCAAAUCAAAUUUUAAAGUUAAACAAAUAAAUAAUAAACUUAAAUUAUUAAAACUAAAACUAGUGGUAAAACUUAAACCAAGUAUUAAAACCCUAA